RNAcentral lists this ribosomal RNA (465 nucleotides) under uncultured bacterium. RNAcentral describes it as "partial 16S ribosomal RNA". It matches the Rfam family "Bacterial small subunit ribosomal RNA", at positions 28 to 507 of the family's 1533-position model. The record is from RNAcentral.
GACGAACGCUGGCGGCGUGCUUAACACAUGCAAGUCGAACGGAAAGGCCCCUUUGGGGGUACUCGAGUGGCGAACGGGUGAGUAACACGUGAGUAACCCGCCCUUGACUUCGGGAUAACUUCAGGAAACUGGGGCUAAUACCGGAUAGGAAUCCUUGCUGCAUGGUGGGGGUUGGAAAGCUUCGGCGGUUUUGGAUGGACUCGCGGCUUAUCAGCUUGUUGGUGGGGUAGUGGCUUACCAAGGCUUUGACGGGUAGCCGGCCUGAGAGGGCGACCGGCCACAUUGGGACUGAGAUACGGCCCAGACUCCUACGGGAGGCAGCAGUGGGGAAUAUUGCACAAUGGGCGGAAGCCUGAUGCAGCAACGCCGCGGGCGGGAUGACGGCCUUCGGGUUGUAAACCGCUUUCAGCAGGGGCGAAGCUUGUGGUGACGGUACCUGCAGAAGAAGCACCGGCUAACUACGUG